UCCAUUGAUACCUUCAGAAAGCGCCGCAUCCCAAUGCUGUGGGUUACACUUGGGGUGAAAAUCAGCGGCAUAACAAGAGAGGUGCAUCACUAUAAGUGUGGAUAAAUUAAUUACAUAAAUGCUGCAAUGGUGCAUUUGCUUUUAGAUUCCUGUUGUUAACAUGGUACCAAAAAGGUAUGCGUGCAUGCUUGAAAAAUCUUAACAUUUGUGCAUCUAGCUAUUCAACCAUCCUUGAGUGAUAUAUAUUUCUCUGUACAUUGAAAUACAAUUGAACAACAAGGAGCUUAUAUCAGUGGUGUGUAUACGCUCCAAAAUUGCGGUAUCUACCUUCCCCAAAUAACAUAAAAAAAUAAGGUUGGGGGUUUACAGGGUUAUUAAUUGGAUCCAUGUUUCAGCGACUUUGUAGAAGUGCGUUCAAUUAGCUUUCUGCAUAUUCACAGUUUAGGUUGUUCCGAAAUUCUCUUAUCAAUGCACAUGUUUCCUUUUUUUUAUUUAGCAUGUGAAGUUCCUUACUCAACGCUAAUUUUUGGCCAAAUCUGUUGAUACAGGUUCACCAUUGAUAACAGAGAAAAUUAUUCAAGAAAUCAUUGAUAUGAGAGGCUCCAUUGAUACCUUUAGAAAGCCGCAUCCCAAUGUUGUGGGUUACACGUCGGGUGAAAAUCAGCGGCAUAACAAGAGGGGUGCAUCACUAUAAGUGUGGAUAAAUUAAUUACAUAAAUGCUGCAAUGGUACAUUUGAUGGAGGAUUCCUGUUGUUAACAUGGUACCAAAAAGGAAGGAAUGGGUCCGGAGCUCGACACCCCAUCCAACGAGCUCAAGUCUUAAGAAACUUCAGUGCAUACUUAACAUGGAGCAGCCUAUGGACAAUGAUUGCUUCAACACCGAUGUACGUAUACGGGCAUGUGACGAGGGAGUAUUGUUCACAGACCCUCCUAUACACUACAUGGAUCUAAGAUUUUGUUCCAUGAUACUAGAGUCAACACGAGGUCAGAAGUUUUGCGAGAAGGAAACUCUCCAGACGUUGGCAACAUUAUUUGAUAGCUGGCCUGGGAUAGACAAAGACAUCUCAUCGUGCAACAUGAUUUAUCUUUCCUAUGCAUCCAUCGGUCGAUCAUCUUGUACGUCAUCGAUAAAGAGGCAUGUCGUCUAUAUAUUAUGGACCUUAUUCAAACAUCACAAUCAUGAGAGGAUAAAAAUUUGAGUCAUGCACUAAAAUUAAAAAGUUUUGCAAGGGAUUUCAAAGAAGCACUCGAAAUAAAGCUGCCUGGUUGGUAUUCCGAGAUAUCUAAAUGGCAACGUUUAUUUCUGUUUGGUAUUCCGACGAGUAUAGACGGGAAUGUGUCUGGCUAUUUUGUUUUUCAUUUUAUGCUCUGGUGGAACGGUAAAGAAUUGGUCAAGCCGGUUUGCACGGGUGGGUAUGAGUUGAGGAAGCAGUUUUUAUUAUACUUGCUAAAACAUCGUGCGAAUGAAGCUAAAUGCAACUUUCUUGAUAUUGUGAAAGAAUUUCUUAAGUGCAUCAUAGUUUUGUAAUAGAUGUGAAGGUCAAACAUCGCUCAAUUUGUUACAUAGACAUGUCGUUAAUCUUUCUUUUUGUUAUCAAUUUACAUUGCAAAAAUAGACUUCAAUUAUUCAAUAAUUGUGUUUGUGUUAUAUUGUUUGUACGUGUGAAAUUUAACAUGUGAUUCUUCCAAACUAUUUCAAGAGCCCGUGGCAACGCACGGGCACUCUACCAGUACUUUU
Molecule: long non-coding RNA, 1739 nt
Organism: Aegilops tauschii subsp. strangulata
Lineage: Eukaryota; Viridiplantae; Streptophyta; Magnoliopsida; Poales; Poaceae
Source: RefSeq, a predicted model, not a curated record